CCUACGGGUGGCAGCAGUGGGGAAUCUUGCGCAAUGGGCGAAAGCCUGACGCAGCGACGCCGCGUGAGCGAUGAAGGCCUUCGGGUUGUAAAGCUCUGUUGGGAGAGAAGAAUAAGGGUUGGCUAACAUCCAACCUGAUGACGGUAUCUCCUUAGCAAGCACCGGCUCACUCUGUGCCAGCAGCCGCGGUCAGACAGAGGGGGCAAACGUUGUUCGGAAUCACUUGGCGUAGAGCGCGCGUGUCCGGCUUGAAAUCCCACGGCUCAACCAUGGAAGUGCAUUCGAAACUGCCAGACUAGAGUCCUGGAGAGGAAGGCGGAAUACUCGGUGUAGAGGUGAAAUUCGUAGAUAUCGAGUGGAACACCGGUGGCGAAGGCGGCCUUCUGGACAGUGACUGACGCUGAAACGCGAAAGCGUGGGGAGCAAACAGGAUUAGAUACCCCAGUAGUC
This 450-nucleotide ribosomal RNA is filed under the name uncultured bacterium. RNAcentral describes it as "partial 16S ribosomal RNA". It matches the Rfam family "Bacterial small subunit ribosomal RNA", at positions 338 to 795 of the family's 1533-position model. The record is from RNAcentral.